UACGAAGGGGGCUAGCGUUGUUCGGAAUUACUGGGCGUAAAGGGCGCGCAGGCGGCUCUUCAAGUCAGAUGUGAAAGCCCCGGGCUCAACCUGGGAACUGCAUUUGAGACUGGAGAGCUUGAGUUCGGGAGAGGAUGGUGGAAUUCCCAGUGUAGAGGUGAAAUUCGUAGAUAUUCGGAAGAACACCAGUGGCGAAGGCGGCUCACUGGCCCGGUACUGACGCUGAGGUGCGAAAGCGUGGGGAGCAAACAGG
RNAcentral lists this ribosomal RNA (253 nucleotides) under uncultured bacterium. RNAcentral describes it as "partial 16S ribosomal RNA". It matches the Rfam family "Bacterial small subunit ribosomal RNA", at positions 524 to 776 of the family's 1533-position model. The record is from RNAcentral.